RNAcentral lists this ribosomal RNA (253 nucleotides) under uncultured prokaryote. Its description in RNAcentral is "partial 16S ribosomal RNA". It matches the Rfam family "Bacterial small subunit ribosomal RNA", at positions 525 to 777 of the family's 1533-position model. The record is from RNAcentral.
ACGGAGGGUGCGAGCGUUGUCCGGAAUCAUUGGGCGUAAAGGGCGCGUAGGUGGCCCGCUCAGCGUGCGGUGAAAGCCUGGGGCUCAACCCCGGGUCGGCCGUGCGAACUGGUGGGCUCGAGCACUGUAGAGGCAGGCGGAAUUCCGGGUGUAGCGGUGGAAUGCGUAGAGAUCCGGAAGAACACCGGUGGCGAAGGCGGCAUCCUGGACCGGCAUUGACGCUGAGGCGCGAAAGCCAGGGGAGCAAACGGGA